Molecule: ribosomal RNA, 491 nt
Filed under: uncultured bacterium
Lineage: Bacteria
Description: partial 16S ribosomal RNA
Rfam family: Bacterial small subunit ribosomal RNA
Source: RNAcentral
GUGAACGCUGGCGGUAGGCCUAACACAUGCAAGUCGAACGGCAGCACAGUAAGCGCUUGCUCUUACGGGUGGCGAGUGGCGGACGGGUGAGGAAUACAUCGGAAUCUACUUUUUCGUGGGGGAUAACGUAGGGAAACUUACGCUAAUACCGCAUACGACCUACGGGUGAAAGCAGGGGAUCUUCGGACCUUGCGCGAUUGAAUGAGCCGAUGUCGGAUUAGCUAGUUGGCGGGGUAAAGGCCCACCAAGGCGACGAUCCGUAGCAGGUCUGAGAGGAUGAUCAGCCACACUGGAACUGAGACACGGUCCAGACUCCUACGGGAGGCAGCAGUGGGGAAUAUUGGACAAUGGGCGCAAGCCUGAUCCAGCCAUACCGCGUGGGUGAAGAAGGCCUUCGGGUUGUAAAGCCCUUUUGUUGGGAAAGAAAAGCAGCAGGUUAAUACCCCGCUGUUCUGACGGUACCCAAAGAAUAAGCACCGGCUAACUUCGUG